AACCAGCUGGAGACAGAGUUCUACGUGAUAAGCCUGUUACAUUUGCAGAGUAAGCAGGAACACCUAAUGGCUCGGCUCCCUAAUGACUCAGGGACCAGGCUCUGACCAACCAUAGCAGUUCAUGUACGGAAGGAUGGUGGCUCUACUGAGUGAUGGGGUAACCUUCAGGAGGUGGAGUCUAGUGGAAGGAAGUUGGGUCAUUGGAGGUGUGCCCUUGAAGGAGACAAUCAAACCCCGCCCCUCCUCUCUCUUCUUGCAACUUGGAUACUUUAGUGGUUUUGUUCAACUCCCACAACAAAAUGCUGCCUCACCAAAGGACCAAAAGCAACAGAGCCACCCAACUAUAGACUGAAACUGUGAGCCAUGAAAAAAACCCUUUCUCCUUCAAGUUGAUUCCGUCUCAAGUAUGUUUGUCACACUGAUGGAAGUCUAACACGAGACUUCAAACCGACCUCAGUCUACAUCAAAUUUACCAUCCAUUACAAGCUCUCUGUAGUGGUGACGUCACGUUUCAUUACCCCAUCCUUGCAAUUAUCCCCAAAAGGCAAAAGCCAAGAUGUGAAUCAUCUCACUUGUCAUUUAUGUUUUCAUGUAUGUCUUUAACAAGACAUACUGUUAUUGAACAAGACACCUGUGAUUCACCAACAGCUCCUUCCUAGCAUGAAGCUUUUCACCUAGAAGGCUUUAAAUAACAUUUUGAGAUAUAAUACAAACCCCCAAAAGCAGACCGUUAAAGUCUUGGCUUCCCCUGAUGACAUCUGUAGACUUGAAAAUGAAAUAAAGUGAACUCUUGCUACUUGGAGAAUUUUAAAACCAGGAUAUUAAAAUCAAAGACCUCUGGAGUUCAUCCUUAAAAGCUUCUAAAAGGAGGAACUAAUGUGGAUGAGGGGUUGAUUUAGAA
Molecule: long non-coding RNA, 901 nt
Organism: Onychomys torridus (southern grasshopper mouse)
Lineage: Eukaryota; Metazoa; Chordata; Mammalia; Rodentia; Cricetidae
Exons: 3
Source: RefSeq, a predicted model, not a curated record